GAGUAACACGUGAGUAAGAGACCCUGCCCCAGGCUUUGGGAUAACCCCGGGAAACCGGGGCUAAUACCGGAUAUGACCAUCUGUCGCAUGGUGGGUGGUGGAAAGAUUUUUUGGCUUGGGAUGGGCUCGCGGCCUAUCAGCUUGUUGGUGGGGUGAUGGCCUACCAAGGCGGCGACGGGUAGCCGGCCUGAGAGGGCGACCGGCCACACUGGGACUGAGACACGGCCCAGACUCCUACGGGAGGCAGCAGUGGGGAAUCUUGCACAAUGGGCGGAAGCCUGAUGCAGCGACGCCGCGGCUUGAGGGAUGACGGCCUUCGGGUUGUAAACCUCUUUCAGCAGGGACGAAGCGUUUGUGACGGUACCUGCAGAAGAAGCGCCGGCCAACUACGUGCCAGCAGCCGCGGUAAGACGUAGGGCGCAAGCGUUGUCCGGAUUUAUUGGGCGUAAAGAGCUCGUAGGCGGCUUGUCGCGUCGACUGUGAAAACCUGUGGCUCAACUGCGGGCUUGCAGUCGAUACGGGCAGGCUAAGGCGGGUCUCUGGGCCGAUACUGACGCUGAGGAGCGAAAGCGUGGGGAGCGAACAGGAUUAGAUACCCUGGUAGUCCACGCUGUAAACGUUGGGCGCUAGGUGUGGGGGGCCUCUCCGGUUCUCUGUGCCGCAGCUAACGCAUUAAGCGUGACGCUGAGGAGCGAAAGCGUGGGGAGCGAACAGGAUUAGAUACCCUGGUAGUCCACGCUGUAAACGUUGGGCGCUAGGUGUGGGGGGCCUCUCCGGUUCUCUGUGCCGCAGCUAACGCAUUAAGCGCCCCGCCUGGGGAGUACGGCCGCAAGGCUAAAAGCUCUCAAAGGAAUUGACGGGGGCCCGCACAAGCGGCGGAGCAUGCGGAUUAAUUCGAUGCAACGCGAAGAACCUUACCUGGGUUUGACAUCGCCGGAAAUCCUUCAGAGAUGGGGGGU
RNAcentral lists this ribosomal RNA (959 nucleotides) under Salinispora arenicola. RNAcentral describes it as "bacterial SSU rRNA". It matches the Rfam family "Bacterial small subunit ribosomal RNA", at positions 108 to 1014 of the family's 1533-position model. The record is from RNAcentral. Lineage: Bacteria; Bacillati; Actinomycetota; Actinomycetes; Micromonosporales; Micromonosporaceae.